AUUAAGAAUUAAGUCACGUGAGAUUCACCUCAAGUUCACAUUUCUAAUCUAUUUUCCUUCAAUCUCAAAUGUGGAUAACUAUUAUUGAACCAAACUGAUUUAGACUGUGGCUUGAAUAAUCACCAGUUUGAAUUUUGUUUUGCAGGACAUGAUCAUUGUCUCAGGGUCUGCACUGUAGUUCACCCUUGAAGCAUGACAUUUUUGAAUGCACUAGCUUCUGGUAUGUAUACAUUGGACCUGUUAUUUUGCUCUCAAGACUGAUCCAUUAGGCAGUACUAGUUUCUUCAGGAUUUUAAAAUCAUGAUUUCCUGGCUUAUCACUAACAUAUACUGCACAACCACCUAUUGCUCUUGCCGCAGCAUGAAACUCAGCUGUCACGUGCUUGCUAACCUUGACAUGAAGGUAUAAAUGUUGCUGUUAGGUGUUGGUGCUGUUGUAAACGCAGGUUGUUCAUGAUGCAUGUCCAUUCAAGGUUUAAUUCGUAGAAUAAAUUGCAACAAAGUGUUGCAAAAUUCUGCAAUACUUCAUGACAGGUUGGACAUGGUAAAUGAGAUACCCCCGCUGUUCGGUUCCAAGUCUACUCGUGGAACACUCCAUGAAUGAGCUCAACAUCAGGUCAUGUCGGUUUCUUGUAUCAUGGCCAUGGUCCAAUUCUAAUUCUUCCUUGUGAUUGAAUCGUGGUUCACUGUUUUGCUAGGUAUGAUGAUAGCUCGUUCAACAAGGUGACAACCGUUGGAUUCACCUGAUUCUGCAUACAGGAAACUUUGUCCAUUGAAGCACAUGGCUUGGUUCAUGAUCAGCAACAGGUGUAGGUGCGGUCAUGGGAAUCAUUUGUUCCUGACUUGGCCAAUGCUUCUUUUAUAGCAUAUGGUCAUGAGCUCUGCAGCACGUGUGGGCAUACUAACCUUGCUUGGUUAGUUUCAAGAGCAUGCCUCAUUUGGCUAGAGCAUCCACGUGAGGGAGUAUGGGUAAGGCAUGCAACACGGAUGACACCAAGUUUGGCCUUUUGGAGCAUUAAUGGCACAUGUCAACGACCAAGUAGGAAUUUUUAGAGCUUAGGAAUAGGAUUCAUGGGUAUUUAGGAUUUUAGGAGUUUAGGGAUUGGGUUGACUUUGGUCAGAGUUGACCAAAGUCAACAGUUGGUCAACACACUCAUUCUUUGUAUUUUUCCUGUAAUGAUCAUGUAAUGAAUGAAAUUUCUUCACUUGAAUGAA
This is a long non-coding RNA of Lathyrus oleraceus (garden pea), 1214 nucleotides long. RefSeq lists it as uncharacterized. NCBI's taxonomy places the organism in Eukaryota, Viridiplantae, Streptophyta, Magnoliopsida, Fabales, Fabaceae. The transcript has 2 exons. The record is from RefSeq and is a predicted model, not a curated record.